CGAGUUGGAUGAGGGUUUAAUUUGAUGCAACGCGCAAAAUCUUAUAGGGCUUGACAUGCCGCGAAUCCUCUUAAAAAGAGGGGUGCCUUCGAGAACGCACAAAUAGGUUGUACAUGGCUGUCGUCAGCUAGUGCCGUAAGGUGUUGGGUUAAAUCUCGCAACGAGCAAAACCCUCAUAUUUAGUUGCCAUCGUUGUGUUUUGAACCCUGAACAUAGUGUUGAUGAUAUGAUAGAGGAAGGUGAGGAUGACAUCAAGUUAUCAUGCCCCUAAUGAUGUAGGUGAUACACGUGCUACAAUGGCGGGGGAAAAGGGUCGCGACCCCGCACGGUGAGCUACCCAAAAAAUCCAUCCUCAGUUGGAAUUGCAUGCUGCAACUCGCCUGCAUGAAGCCGAAAUUACUAGUAAUCGCCAAUCAUCUAUACAACAGUUAAUUCG
RNAcentral lists this non-coding RNA (436 nucleotides) under Solanum lycopersicum (tomato). Its description in RNAcentral is "Bacterial small subunit ribosomal RNA". It matches the Rfam family "Bacterial small subunit ribosomal RNA", at positions 931 to 1370 of the family's 1533-position model. Lineage: Eukaryota; Viridiplantae; Streptophyta; Magnoliopsida; Solanales; Solanaceae. The record is from Rfam by way of RNAcentral.